Molecule: long non-coding RNA, 2620 nt
Organism: Bubalus bubalis (water buffalo)
Lineage: Eukaryota; Metazoa; Chordata; Mammalia; Artiodactyla; Bovidae
Exons: 2
Source: RefSeq, a predicted model, not a curated record
UUCAAUCCCUGGUCGAGGAAGUAAGAUCUCACAUGCCGUGGAGCAACUCAGCCCAUGCACCACAACUCCUGAAGCUCACGCACCACAACUCCUGAAGCUCACACACCACAACUAGAGUCCGUGUGCCACAAUGGAAGAUCCCUCAUGACUCAACCAAGACCUGACAUAGCCAAAGAAAGAAAGAAAGUAUCAAAUGGCAACGCUAAAAAUGAAAAACAUGACUGUGCCUUUCAUGGCUCAGCAGGAGAUGACACAGCUAAGGAAAAAAUCAGCAAAUUCAAAGACAGGACAAUGGAAAUUACCCAAAUGGAAACACAAAGAAACAAAAUUGUAGGAGGAAGAAACAGAACAGAGAUCACAGGGCUGUGGGAGAACAUGUCUAACAGAGAGAGAACAGGGUAGGAGAAAUAUUUGAAAACAAUAAUGGCUGAGAAUUUUCCAAAAUGAAUGAAGUUUAUCUACCACACAAAUUUCUCACCACAGCCUCUUCAACAUUACAUUUGGGGGCUAUUUCAAAUAGCAGUCACCAACAAAAAAGCUCAGAAAUGUGAAAAAACAUGGAACUAAACUUUAGACCAUGAAGAAGACACUGGUUUACAGUAUAAGCACCAAAGAAAAAAAGCAGAGCGUCACCACAUUCAGCCUCAGCUGGGAAUGGGCGCACUGGAUGACUCCAGUUUCUGACCCCUCUUGCAUAAGCCCAUGAAUGACCGAAAAUGUGCUGUAUUAAUUUUGAGGUUACAAAUAAAUUUUUAGUGAGUAGGCAAAUUUGUAAAUAGGGAAUCCACAAAUACAGAUAUUCCUCGAUUUUCUAAAGUUCACUUUACUCCACUUCGCUUUUCCUAAAGACCCAUAUUAGUACCUGUUUUCACUAACUCUAAGAAAUUCUAAAAGGAUUUUUGCUUUUAAAAAAAAAGGUGAAAAACACAGCAUUCAAUGUUUGUUUUGCAGCAAGUUGUGAUAGAGGCAGCGGGCACCCCAAGCAGUAAGAGUGGUCCUGCCAAGCUCCUUCCUGAGAACUACCCUCAGCAUCUCAACAUCAAAAAGUCGCCAUGGAUAUCACCUGUGUCUAUAGCAGGAGAAAUCUGUGAUGAGGAGCUACCAUAUUUGCAUAUGACUUGGAAGGCUAAAGAGAGGCCAAGAAGCCAUAAUUAUUAUUUCUCCAGCAACAGAGGGCAGACACAAAGCGAACCACAAGUGGAAAUUUUCACAGCAACCUCCAGGCAUGUCUGAGGAACACCUCCCUUGGUCCUGCAACUGUACUCCCUGGGCUCUCUGACGCUCUAGAAGUUUGGAGGAAUCUGAGAGCUGGUAUCAGUUUUCCUGGACCUUGACUCUUCCAAUUGUUUUGUAAGCACCUUAUCUCCAGUAUUGAAUUCCUUCCUAUUUGAAGCCCCAAGUCCUAUUUUCUCAACCAAACCCAGACUAAUACACAUGCCCUAGGGAAAAAAAAUACAAUUUGGAGGAAGACAGGAAUAAAUAUUAAAUGCCCAACUUUAUAACAGUGGUCACAACUCAGGAUUUGCCAGUUAAGGUGGGGGUGUGACCUAAAUCAAACUCAAGGGCUUUGCAAGUCACUUUGGCCUCUUUAUCACAGAGGGGCACGUGAGAACGAACUGCUUUGUCUUCAAAAGUCCUGUCCCAUUUCCUAUUUAUAUUUUCCAGGGUAAGCCCUUAUCUUGGGCAAGGAUUUGUGUGCAAGCGAUUUCUGAAGGCAGUGCUUCCAGGGUAGACCAGUUAAGGGAGUGAGGAAAGCAGGACAAGAAAAGGAAAGCGGUGGAGUGUAAAUUACGCUUUAGUCUUUCUCCAGGCCAGGGAGCUGGGCUUGCAGACUUGCCGCGCAGUGAGUCACUGGCCAAGUGCCAUUCCUAGUUCCCGGGGCGGGGAUGGAGUGGCUCCGGUAGCCCCAGGGCAGACCUCCGAAGAGUGUUGCACGUGCUGGCUGUUAGCAGCAAAAGCACAGAGUUCAGAGUAGAGGCACCCAGAAAUUGGGAAAAGGGUUUAAAGAGGGCGGUGUGAAACACACACACUUUCUUUCCCAAAAUGCUGAAGAGGCAGGAUUAUUAGGGUGACUAGGCCCCAAAACUUGAAAGCCAUUCUGACUGGGGUUUAAGUCACAGCUGUGGCAGACACGGAGCUGACCCCUGAUACCGGUUAAUACAGAAGCUCUGAUGGUCAGCUGAGCCCAUGGCUGCGCAGAAUAAAAGCUGUAUUUCCCAGCCUCCCUAAAAGCCAUGUGGGGGGACGUGUCUUUAAAAGGAAGGACCACGGACUUCCCUGGUGAUCCAGUGGUUAAGAAUCCACCUGCCACAUGUCAAGAAGCAAGUAAGUCCAUGUGCGCCACAACUACCGAGCCCGCACUCUCGAGCCCGCACGCUGCAACUGCUGAAGCCCGCGUGCCCUAGAGCCCGUGCUCUGUGACAGGGGAAGCCCCCACUUGCCACAACUAGUGAAAGCCCUGCGAAGCCAAAAAUACAUACAUAAAUAGAGAAUAAAAGGGAGGGAGACCCUUCUUUAAGCCUUCUCCUUCCUACUGCCUGAAGUGUGGUCCUCAAUGCUAGAGCACGUGCAGCCCCCUUGAACCAAGAGGUGGAGAUAGGGCUGCCAGAUGAAGCAAAAA